UGGGUAAUCUGCCCUCGAUUCUGGGAUAGCCCGGGGAAACCCGGAUUAAUACCGGAUAGCCUCUCGAGCUUUCGAGCUCGUGAGAAAAGGUAGCUUCGGCCUCCGAUCGAGGAUGAGCCCCGCGGCGGAUUAGCUUGUUGGUGGGGUAA
This 149-nucleotide ribosomal RNA is filed under the name uncultured bacterium. Its description in RNAcentral is "partial 16S ribosomal RNA". It matches the Rfam family "Bacterial small subunit ribosomal RNA", at positions 118 to 260 of the family's 1533-position model. The record is from RNAcentral.